UGGUUUUAGUACAACCUAGGUCACAUUCUUCUCAUGUUGGUUGCUGCAUAGUCGGAAGGGGUUACGUCAAGGGAAAUUGACACCUACCCUUCUCAUUUGCUCUUUGAUUUGCACACUCAUCAGAAGACUAGAGCCAUUUGAUACUUCACAAGAUGAUUCCCCUUAGCAGACACUGAGGGAAGGGGGAGUCACCUGGCCCCAGCAUCUGGUAACUGUUCCCAUUUCAACUGUUGACUCAAUAAAUGCCCUUGGGCAAGUCACUGAACCUCUCCACAUUUAGUCUCUGGGGAAUGAAAUCUGCCAACUGUAUUAUGUGGGUUUGAACCUCACUGCCCUCUGGGAUAAAAAUAGGAGAGGACCAGGUGUCAGCUGGUCCCAAACUGAUGUAAGGAUGGCGGCCAUGGGAUCUCAAAGAUGUCCUUGAGCUAUAAAUUCUAUAAUAGGGUCACGGGACACAGAGGCCCUCAGGCAUUUAUUUGGCUUGUGUGAUAAAUUCCAGCCCUUGAAAUUUUUCCAGCCACUCUUGAAUACUCUGCCUGGCCCCGCCCCCACUCCUCAGUAUUUCUCCCGCCAUAAUACUCAACUCUGAAUGCUGUUGCUUUGUCACAAAACUCUUGGACCGUAAACUUCCCAAGGGAGGAGAUAACGUCAGCACAAGCUUCAUUGUCAAGUACACACCAGGCAAGUGGGCAUACUACGUGAAUUGUUUGCCAUAUGGACGAGUGAAUGAAGACUUCCCAGGCUCCAGAGAACAUUCCACUCCUCUGCCUCUGGGAUCAUCCAUCCCUGGCCAACAUAAGCAUUCCUGCUAAAUACAGCAUCCAGGUCAACUGGAGUCAUCUGCAAGUGCUCUCUCUGGCGCUCUCUUCCCAUCUCUUAACUGGGCGUGGGUGUCCUGCACUACUGACUUUCCCAUAGUGCUCAGUGAUUUGCCAGCGUCUGCUACUCCUGACCCCAGUCACCCCAUGGCUUCCAGUCACCAAGCCCACAGAGCCCCCUUCUCUCAGCCCAACCUCAGUUCCUUGGGCUCUUCAUUGUCUAGAAGGCUAGCCACUUGAGGAUGCUUGGCUGCCUUCUGGGCCCCCUGCUGUGAUGAAGCUUUCUGUGAGGCAUUGUCCAAGUCCCUUAGGCCAGCCCUUUGCUGGUGCCUUGCCUAGUGAAAGGUCUCUUCUAUGUUUGUAGAGCCCAUGGCCGGCUGCCAGGGAUGUGAACCAUGACAGCUGCUGCUCUGUUUCCUCUUUAGCCAGCCUGGGUUUUCAUUGCCUCACCUCCCCAGACCAAAGCAAAGCUGACCCCUCCUUGUCUGCCUGUCACUGUCUGCCUGUCUCCCUUCAACACUAGGCUUGCAGGCAUCUUUCCUGUGGAUGCUGGGGAUCCAAGCACAGGUUCCUGUGCCUGUACAGCAAGAGUUCUCUCGAUAUGCUUUUCUAGAUACUCCUAAGAAAAGGUUAACCUUGAAACUGUAGGAUAAGAAAGAGGAAGUGUCCAGAUAGUGAAGCUCUGCACAGAAGUGUCUCUCAUACGGCAUUGGGGUACAUUAGUCUGCAUUUAAUUGUGGCUAUAUUCUGGAUCUAGAAUGUUCCCUAAUGGUCUGCACGGUUAAGGAUUAGGCCAGUAGCUUGCUCAGCUAUUGGGAGGCAGUAGACUCUGUAAGAGAUGGAAUUUAGUAAUGGGGGGAUAUUAGGUUGAGGAGAAUGUACCCUUGAGACUUUGGCCACCAGCUCUCCCCCUCCGCCUCCUUCUCCUCCUCCUUCUCCUCUUCUCUUCUCCUGACCACCAUGAGGACAGAAGGCUUUCCCUGAAUGCCUACACCAUGGUCUACCAUGCCAGUAUAGGCCCAAAGCAACAGCACCAACCAAGUGACCACAGACUGAUAGAUAUAAC
Molecule: long non-coding RNA, 1884 nt
Filed under: Mus musculus (house mouse)
Lineage: Eukaryota; Metazoa; Chordata; Mammalia; Rodentia; Muridae
Description: RIKEN cDNA 1700027J07 gene
Source: RNAcentral